Molecule: ribosomal RNA, 419 nt
Filed under: Fusobacteriota bacterium
Lineage: Bacteria; Fusobacteriati; Fusobacteriota
Description: Fusobacteria bacterium partial 16S ribosomal RNA
Rfam family: Bacterial small subunit ribosomal RNA
Source: RNAcentral
UGGGGGAUAUUGCACAAUGGGCGAAAGCCUGAUGCAGCGACGCCGCGUGGGGGAUGAAGGCCUUCGGGUUGUAAACUUCUUUUGCUCUGAACAAGGCAUGCCUUUGGGGUGUGUUGAGUGUAGGGGUUGAUUAGCGCCGGCUAACUACGUGCCAGCAGCCGCGGUAAUACGUAGGGCGCGAGCGUUGUCCGGAAUUAUUGGGCGUAAAGGGCUUGUAGGUGGCUGGUUGCGUCUGUCGUGAAAGCUCAUGGCUUAACUGUGGGUUUGCGGUGGGUACGGGCUGGCUUGAGUGCAGUAGGGGAGGCUGGAAUUCCUGGUGUAGCGGUGAAUGCGCAGAUAUCAGGAGGAAUACCGGUGGCGAAGGCGGGUCUCUGGGCUGUUACUGACGCUGAGGAGCGAAAGCGUGGGGAGCGAACAGG